GCGUUGCAGCGAUUUGGCUGUGAAUUUCAACUCCAUGAUCUGAUUAAGCAGCUUCUCGGUGUUCCCCAUGGCGAUCGCUUCAGAUAAUUUCAAAUUGGGAUUCUAGGGUUUUUUCGGGCAGAAUGAAAUUGCAGAGAUGUUCCAUAAAAACAGCAGUGGAAAAGAAAAAACGAACGGGGGAGUAGAGGUGAAGAUAUGAUGCAAUUUAAUUUGAUGUUUUAAUUUUGUUUUUCCUUUUUCUCUUUCAUUAGUUUUGAACUGGCCUAUUAAUGGUUAGAAUGAAUGUAAUAACAUGAAGAAUAGAUAGAAUUUAUCCUUCUAUAAAUAUAGAGUUUUGUCCUAAAAUAUAUAUAUUAAUUGAAUAGCAAAUUUCAUGUUUGUUUAAUUAUUUUUAUUGUAAGUUAAUUUGUAGAAAUUACAUUAGUAAAAAAGAAUGAAAAUAUAUUAUCUCCUCA
Molecule: long non-coding RNA, 455 nt
Organism: Cannabis sativa
Lineage: Eukaryota; Viridiplantae; Streptophyta; Magnoliopsida; Rosales; Cannabaceae
Exons: 2
Source: RefSeq, a predicted model, not a curated record